This 487-nucleotide ribosomal RNA is filed under the name uncultured bacterium. RNAcentral describes it as "bacterial SSU rRNA". It matches the Rfam family "Bacterial small subunit ribosomal RNA", at positions 501 to 987 of the family's 1533-position model. The record is from RNAcentral.
CUACGUGCCAGCAGCCGCGGUAAUACGUAGGUGGCAAGCGUUGUCCGGAAUUAUUGGGCGUAAAGCGCGCGCAGGCGGAUCAGUUAGUCUGUCUUAAAAGUUCGGGGCUUAACCCCGUGAUGGGAUGGAAACUGCUGAUCUAGAGUAUCGGAGAGGAAAGUGGAAUUCCUAGUGUAGCGGUGAAAUGCGUAGAUAUUAGGAAGAACACCAGUGGCGAAGGCGACUUUCUGGACGAAAACUGACGCUGAGGCGCGAAAGCCAGGGGAGCGAACGGGAUUAGAUACCCCGGUAGUCCUGGCCGUAAACGAUGGGUACUAGGUGUAGGAGGUAUCGACCCCUUCUGUGCCGGAGUUAACGCAAUAAGUACCCCGCCUGGGGAGUACGACCGCAAGGUUGAAACUCAAAGGAAUUGACGGGGGCCCGCACAAGCGGUGGAGUAUGUGGUUUAAUUCGACGCAACGCGAAGAACCUUACCAGGUCUUGACAU